Scylla paramamosain (green mud crab) is the source of this 1754-nucleotide long non-coding RNA. RefSeq lists it as uncharacterized. The transcript is spliced from 4 exons. The record is from RefSeq and is a predicted model, not a curated record. NCBI's taxonomy places the organism in Eukaryota, Metazoa, Arthropoda, Malacostraca, Decapoda, Portunidae.
CUUGCCAUUGUAUGUCGAUGUACAUUUAUCGUAUACAUUUUUACGUAAGGUGAUGAUGAAAAUUGUUCAUAAUGAAAUAGAAAGCUCAGACGUUCUAUAUAAUAUUUCGGUGACGCAAGGUUAUUUCGACCUAGUAACGUCAGUAAUCAUUAGAUGGAAUAUUCUACUCUGGGAAGAUAUGCUAGGUAAGAAAUAUUUCUUGUUAUCUCAAUUGAAACAUUUAGUAAUAUGAAAUUUUGAGGAAGUAUGAUGAGAAGAAUAAUAAAAGCAUAAAAGUAGUUACAUGCGCAUCGAUAUUUCCAACGGGUAAACCGCCAUUUUUUUUUUUUUUUUUUUUUUUUUUGUCCACGAUUACGAGGUGCCCACCAGGCGCCAAACGCCAGUUCCAGACUAGUAGCUGCAUCUUUAUCCUGUACCUUGUGAGACCCAGGCCUGUACCUUCAUCAAGCCUGAUACUACCUGCUUACUGCACUUCUGGGACACUAGAGGCUGUGUUGACGCUGUUGCUGAGGCUUAACUACACGGCCUCAUCAAAAACACCACCAAGGGCACAGCCAACCAGUAUUCUACCUACCUACCUCCUAAGGCCCUAAGACCUAAGGGCCUUGCAUCCAACAACAUUCCUGGUCUCCUCCCUCGCAUGGGAAUCAAGAUUUACUACAGCAAGAUAUAUGCUGGCAAUUGAUGGUGUUGUUGUCACUGAGCAUAUUGCCACAUUUACCACUGGCCUAGCUUUGCUGUUGGCCUCCUAUUACUACUUCAUUAUAAUGUACCCCAUGGAUUCUGCAUCAACACCUGAGUUCAUUCAAAGAUGUUUUGUUGGCAUCAAUCCCGAAUGGCAGAGCAAGAUAGAAGUAAAAAAAACAUUGCAAAAGGCAUUCUGAAGUCCAUCCGAAGAUGCUGUCAGCCACUACAAUUGUGAUACUCAAGUGGAUGAAACUUCUCUUCCAUUCUUGCUGAUGUACUUAAAUAAUUUUUUUUUUUCUUAAUGAUGUGUCAAUGAUUAUAAUGGUGAUGCUGUAAAGGUGAUGUAUUUCAUUAUUUAUUUUUUUCUGGAAUGCUCUUUUUAAUGGUAUAAUGAUGAUUAUAAUGGUGAUGAUGAUGAUGAUGUCAAGUUUUCUCCAUGCAAGUAUAAUGAUGAUUAUAAUGGUGGUGAUGAUGAUGAUGAUGAUGAUGAUAAAGGUUUUCUCCAUGAUUGGUGUUGCAUAGUUAAAUACCUAGGUUCAUAUUUUUUUUUCUGGAAUGCUCUUUUUUAUUGGUGUAUGCAGUGAUUAUAAUGGUGAUGAUGAUGUUGAUGAUGUAAAGUUCUUUCCACGCUGGUUUAUGUAUAGUUAAAUGCCUAGGUUCUUUAUGAUUUUUUUUCAUUUCUGGAAUUGUCUUUUAAUGAAGUGUAAUGAUGAUGAUGAUAAUGUAAAGUUCUCUACAUGCUUGCUGAUGCAGUGAAAUGCUUAGAUUUAUUAUUACUUUUAUAUAUUUAUUUAUCAUUUUUUAGGAAUGCUCUGAUGAAGAGUCAAGUAAUUGAUUAAAUUGUAUAGUGUGGUUUAGUAGAAAUAUUUUUGCAAGUUUAUCUAAUGUAUUUUUAGUUUAAAAAAUGUGCUCAGGUAAUUUCUCCUUUUACCUCAUUUUGAUUUUGAAGCCUCUUAUCUAGUUCAUCUUUUACAUGAGAACAUGAGGAAAAUGUAGGCUGUCCAUGCCCUAACCUGACGUGCUGUUGGACACAUUAUUUGUGUUGAAUAAAAUCUUUCAGCUAUGAA